AAUCAACGCUGGCGGCGUGCCUAACACAUGCAAGUCGAACGCGAAAGGGGGCUUCGGUCCCUGAGUAGAGUGGCGGACGGGUGAGUAACACGUGGAUGACCUGCCCUCGAGUGGGGGAUAACUCUUCGAAAGGGGAGCUAAGACCGCAUGAGCUCCUGGGGGCGACUCUGGGAGGAAAGCCUGAGGGUGCUGGAGGAGGGGUCCGCGACCGAUUAGCUGGUUGGUGGGGUAAGGGCCCACCAAGGCGACGAUCGGUAGCCGGUCUGAGAGGACGGACGGCCACACUGGAACUGAGAGACGGUCCAGACUCCUACGGGAGGCAGCAGUGGGGAAUUUUGCGCAAUGGGCGCAAGCCUGACGCAGCAACGCCGCGUGGAGGAUGAAGGUUUUCGGAUUGUAAACUCCUGUCCCGGGGGAAGAAGGCAGUGACGGUACCCUGGGAGGAAGCCCCGGCUAACUCCGUG
RNAcentral lists this ribosomal RNA (464 nucleotides) under uncultured bacterium. RNAcentral's name for it is "bacterial SSU rRNA". It matches the Rfam family "Bacterial small subunit ribosomal RNA", at positions 28 to 507 of the family's 1533-position model. The record is from RNAcentral.